This 732-nucleotide ribosomal RNA is filed under the name uncultured bacterium. RNAcentral's name for it is "bacterial SSU rRNA". It matches the Rfam family "Bacterial small subunit ribosomal RNA", at positions 51 to 777 of the family's 1533-position model. The record is from RNAcentral.
ACACAUGCAGUCGAGCGGCAGCACGGGUACUUGUACCUGGUGGCGAGCGGCGGACGGGUGAGUAAUGCCUAGGAAUCUGCCUAGUAGUGGGGGAUAACGUCCGGAAACGGGCGCUAAUACCGCAUACGUCCUACGGGAGAAAGUGGGGGAUCUUCGGACCUCACGCUAUUAGAUGAGCCUAGGUCGGAUUAGCUAGUUGGUGAGGUAAUGGCUCACCAAGGCGACGAUCCGUAACUGGUCUGAGAGGAUGAUCAGUCACACUGGAACUGAGACACGGUCCAGACUCCUACGGGAGGCAGCAGUGGGGAAUAUUGGACAAUGGGCGAAAGCCUGAUCCAGCCAUGCCGCGUGUGUGAAGAAGGUCUUCGGAUUGUAAAGCACUUUAAGUUGGGAGGAAGGGCAGUUACCUAAUACGUGAUUGUUUCGACGUUACCGACAGAAUAAGCACCGGCUAACUCUGUGCCAGCAGCCGCGGUAAUACAGAGGGUGCAAGCGUUAAUCGGAAUUACUGGGCGUAAAGCGCGCGUAGGUGGUUUGUUAAGUUGGAUGUGAAAGCCCCGGGCUCAACCUGGGAACUGCAUCCAAAACUGGCAAGCUAGAGUAUGGUAGAGGGUGGUGGAAUUUCCUGUGUAGCGGUGAAAUGCGUAGAUAUAGGAAGGAGCACCAGUGGCGAAAGCGACCACCUGGACUGAUACUGACACUGAUGUGCGAAAGCGUGGGGAGCAAACAGGA